UGCGUAGGCGGAUUGAUAAGUUAGAGGUGAAAUGUCCGAGCUUAACUCGGGAACUGCCUCUAAUACUGUUGAUCUAGAGAGUAGAUGCGGUAGGCGGAAUGUAUGGUGUAGCGGUGAAAUGCUUAGAGAUCAUACAGAACACCGAUUGCGAAGGCAGCUUACCAAUCUAUAUCUGACGUUGAGGCACGAAAGCGUGGGGAGCAAACAGGAUUAGAUACCCCCGUA
This 225-nucleotide ribosomal RNA is filed under the name uncultured Alistipes sp. RNAcentral's name for it is "partial 16S ribosomal RNA". It matches the Rfam family "Bacterial small subunit ribosomal RNA", at positions 568 to 792 of the family's 1533-position model. The record is from RNAcentral. Lineage: Bacteria; Pseudomonadati; Bacteroidota; Bacteroidia; Bacteroidales; Rikenellaceae.